CCUACGGGUGGCAGCAGUGAGGAAUAUUGCACAAUGGGCGAGACCCUGAAGCAGCGACGCCGCGUGAAGGAAGACGGAACUAGUGGUGGUAGACUCCAUUAGCAGGGGAGAAAAUGACGGUACGUGAGGGAGAAGCGACGGGUAACCACGUGACAGCAUCGGCGGGAAUACGGGGGGCGCAAGCGGUAACCGGAUUUACGGGGUGUAAAGGGGGAGUAGACGGGAGUGCAAGGCUGGAGUGAAAGGUGGGGGCUCAACCCCCGGACUGCUGGGGAAAAUGUACGGCUGGAGUGCAGGAGAGGUAAGUGGAAUGCGUGGUGUAGCGGUGAAAUGCGUAGAUAUCACGAGGAACUCCAGUGGCGAAGGCAGCUUACUGGACUGUAACUGACGUUGAGGCUCGAAAGCGUGGGUAGCAAACAGGAUUAGAUACCCCUGUAGUC
RNAcentral lists this ribosomal RNA (440 nucleotides) under uncultured bacterium. Its description in RNAcentral is "partial 16S ribosomal RNA". It matches the Rfam family "Bacterial small subunit ribosomal RNA", at positions 338 to 795 of the family's 1533-position model. The record is from RNAcentral.